AGAACGAACGCUGGCGGCAUGCCUAACACAUGCAAGUCGAACGAGACCUUCGGGUCUAGUGGCGCACGGGUGCGUAACGCGUGGGAACCUGCCUUUAGGUUCGGAAUAACUCCUCGAAAGGGGUGCUAAUACCGAAUAAUGUCUUCGGACCAAAGAUUUAUCGCCUUUAGAUGGGCCCGCGUUGGAUUAGCUAGUUGGUGGGGUAAAGGCCUACCAAGGCGACGAUCCAUAGCUGGUCUUAGAGGAUGAUCAGCCACACUGGGGAUUGAGACACGGCCCAGACUCCUACGGGAGGCAGCAGUGGGGAAUAUUGGACAAUGGGCGAAAGCCUGAUCCAGCAAUGCCGCGUGAGUGAUGAAGGCCUUAGGGUUGUAAACUCCUGUCGACCGGGACGAAAGUAGGAUGGCCUAAUACGCCGAUCUAUUGACUGUACCGGUGGAGGAAGCCACGGCUAACUCUGUGCCAGCAGCCGC
This 473-nucleotide ribosomal RNA is filed under the name uncultured bacterium. RNAcentral's name for it is "SSU rRNA". It matches the Rfam family "Bacterial small subunit ribosomal RNA", at positions 26 to 518 of the family's 1533-position model. The record is from RNAcentral.